CGCAAUUUUCAUGGCAGUUCGACGGUAAACGCGGGGAGAAGCUUGCUUCUCUCCGGCGACGAGUGGCGAACGGGUGAGUAAUACAUCGGAACGUGUCCGCUCGCGGGGGACAACCAGCCGAAAGGUUGGCUAAUACCGCAUGAGUUCUACGGAAGAAAGAGGGGGACCCGCAAGGGCCUCUCGCGAGCGGAGCGGCCGAUGACUGAUUAGCCGGUUGGUGAGGUAACGGCUCACCAAAGCAACGAUCAGUAGCUGGUCUGAGAGGACGACCAGCCACACUGGGACUGAGACACGGCCCAGACUCCUACGGGAGGCAGCAGUGGGGAAUUUUGGACAAUGGGCGCAAGCCUGAUCCAGCUAUUCCGCGUGUGGGAUGAAGGCCCUCGGGUUGUAAACCACUUUUGUAGAGAACGAAAAGACACCUUCGAAUAAAGGGUGUUGCUGACGGUACUCUAAGAAUAAGCACCGGCUAACUACGUGCCAGCAGCCGCGGUAAUACGUAGGGUGCGAGCGUUAAUCGGAAUUACUGGGCGUAAAGGGUGCGCAGGCGGUUGAGUAAGACAGAUGUGAAAUCCCCGAGCUUAACUCGGGAAUGGCAUAUGUGACUGCUCGACUAGAGUGUGUCAGAGGGAGGUGGAAUUCCACGUGUAGCAGUGAAAUGCGUAGAUAUGUGGAAGAACACCGAUGGCGAAGGCAGCCUCCUGGGACAUAACUGACGCUCAGGCACGAAAGCGUGGGGAGCAAACAGGA
RNAcentral lists this ribosomal RNA (750 nucleotides) under uncultured bacterium. RNAcentral's name for it is "bacterial SSU rRNA". It matches the Rfam family "Bacterial small subunit ribosomal RNA", at positions 45 to 777 of the family's 1533-position model. The record is from RNAcentral.